Molecule: ribosomal RNA, 492 nt
Filed under: uncultured bacterium
Lineage: Bacteria
Description: partial 16S ribosomal RNA
Rfam family: Bacterial small subunit ribosomal RNA
Source: RNAcentral
AGUGAACGCUGGCGGUAGGCCUAACACAUGCAAGUCGAACGGCAGCACAGUAAGAGCUUGCUCUUACGGGUGGCGAGUGGCGGACGGGUGAGGAAUACAUCGGAAUCUACUUUUUCGUGGGGGAUAACGUAGGGAAACUUACGCUAAUACCGCAUACGACCUACGGGUGAAAGCAGGGGAUCUUCGGACCUUGCGCGAUUGAAUGAGCCGAUGUCGGAUUAGCUAGUUGGCGGGGUAAAGGCCCACCAAGGCGACGAUCCGUAGCUGGUCUGAGAGGAUGAUCGGCCACACGGGAACGUAGACACGGUCCAGACUCCUGCGGGAGGCAGCAGUGGGGAAUAUUGGACAAUGGGCGCAAGCCUGGUCCAGCCAUACCGCGUGGGUGAAGAAGGCCUUCGGGUUGUAAAGCCCUUUUGUUGGGAAAGAAAAGCAGCAGGUUAAUACCCCGCUGUUCUGACGGUACCCAAAGAAUAAGCACCGGCUAACUUCGUG